AGUGAACGCUGGCGGCGUGCUUAACACAUGCAAGUCGAACGAGAACGGAUUAUAGCUUGCUAUAAUUGUCAGCUAAGUGGCGCACGGGUGAGUAAUGUAUAGGUAAUAUGCCUUUUACUAAGGAAUAACAAAUGGAAACGUUUGCUAAUACCUUAUACUCCUUAUUAACCUAAGUUAAUAAGGGAAAGAUUUAUUGGUAAGAGAUUAGCCUGUAUUGUAUCAGUUAGUUGGUGGGGUAAUGGCUUACCAAGACUAUGACACAUAACUGGUUUGAGAGGAUGAUCAGUCACACGGGAACUGAGACACGGUCCAGACUCCUACGGGAGGCAGCAGUGGGGAAUAUUGCACAAUGGACGGAAGUGUGAUGCAGCAACGCCGCAUGGAGGAUGACACAUUUCGGUGCGUAAACUCCUUUUAUAUGAGAAGAUAAUGACGGUAUUAUAUGAAUAAGCACCGGCUAACUCCGUGCCAGCCGCCGCCGUAA
RNAcentral lists this ribosomal RNA (484 nucleotides) under uncultured bacterium. RNAcentral describes it as "partial 16S ribosomal RNA". It matches the Rfam family "Bacterial small subunit ribosomal RNA", at positions 29 to 523 of the family's 1533-position model. The record is from RNAcentral.